Molecule: long non-coding RNA, 211 nt
Filed under: Trifolium pratense (red clover)
Lineage: Eukaryota; Viridiplantae; Streptophyta; Magnoliopsida; Fabales; Fabaceae
Description: long non-coding RNA (TPRA_LNC010903)
Source: RNAcentral
GAGGAUAUGCCUCAUUAAAACCUUACUAGAGAAAACUCAUUGGGAAAAAAUCCUAGUGAAGGAAAAAGAGUACAUCAUCCUUUGUGUGUGAACUGCCUCAUUAAAAACCUUACCAAGAAAAACCCAGUGGGACAAAACCAUGGUUAAGGGAAAAAGAGUGCAGAACAUAUUUAUAUCUCCCCCUCAUAAAGACAAUUAUAAAUGAGACGAA